This 465-nucleotide ribosomal RNA is filed under the name uncultured bacterium. RNAcentral describes it as "partial 16S ribosomal RNA". It matches the Rfam family "Bacterial small subunit ribosomal RNA", at positions 28 to 507 of the family's 1533-position model. The record is from RNAcentral.
GACGAACGCUGGCGGUGUGCUUAACACAUGCAAGUCGAACGGUAAGGCCCUUUCGGGGGUACACGAGUGGCGAACGGGUGAGUAACACGUGAGUAACCUGCCCUCAUCUCUGGGAUAACAGUCGGAAACGGUUGCUAAUACUGGAUAUGAGCCUGCAAGGCAUCUUGUGGGUUGGAAAGAUUUUUUGGUUGGGGAUGGACUCGCGGCCUAUCAGCUUGUUGGUGAGGUAGUGGCUCACCAAGGCUUCGACGGGUAGCCGGCCUGAGAGGGCGACCGGCCACAUUGGGACUGAGAUACGGCCCAAACUCCUACGGGAGGCAGCAGUGGGGAAUAUUGCACAAUGGACGGAAGUCUGAUGCAGCAACGCCGCGUGCGGGAUGACGGCCUUCGGGUUGUAAACCGCUUUCAAUUGUGACGAAGCUUUUUGUGACGGUAGCAGGAGAAGAAGCACCGGCUAACUACGUG